GUGCUCACUUUGGCAGCACGUAUACUAAAAUUGGAACGAUACAGAGAAGAUUAGCAGGGCCCCUGCGCAAGGAUGACACGCAAAUUUGUGAAGCGUUCCUUUUUAAA
Molecule: small nuclear RNA, 107 nt
Filed under: Podarcis lilfordi (Lilford's wall lizard)
Lineage: Eukaryota; Metazoa; Chordata; Lepidosauria; Squamata; Lacertidae
Source: RNAcentral